RNAcentral lists this ribosomal RNA (1112 nucleotides) under Neopetalia punctata. RNAcentral describes it as "partial 16S ribosomal RNA". The record is from RNAcentral. Lineage: Eukaryota; Metazoa; Arthropoda; Insecta; Odonata; Neopetaliidae.
UAAUUUUUAAUCUUACUUAAUUUAUGUUUUUAAAUUUACAGAAAUAACUUUGUAUAUAGUAUUUUAAAGAAAAAUUUUAUUUAGUGAUAGUUUAUUAGUACCGUGAGGGAAUAAUGGUGAAAUAUUUUGAAAAUAAUAAUUUAAAUAAGUAGAUUUAAUUUAUUGUACCUUUUGUAUCAGGGUUAAUCAAAUAUUAUUAAUUUAAUAAUUAAAUUCUCGAUUUCAGAAGAGCUAAUAUAAUAAUUUAGUUAAUGUAUCAUAAUUAUUAAUAAUAUUAAUUAGUGAAGAUAUUUCAUUCGUUUUUAAAGGUAUCUAGUUUUUUAAGAAAUAAAUUUAAUUUAAUUUUGUAAUUUAUUAUAUUUAUUUAAUAAUAUACUAUUUUAUAAAUUGAAUAUUUUAGGGGAUAAGCUCUAAAUUAAUACUAUAAAUUUGAAUUAUAUUUAAUUUAUGUAGGGUUGAAAUCAUCUAUCAUUUAUGAGUACGUUAUAGUUUAUGUUAAUUAGAAUUGAUUUAUUUUUGUUUUUAGUAUUAUAUUAAAAUAUUAUAUUUAAUUAUUUAAUAUAAGUAAUAAUGAUUGAAUUAGUAUAUGUUAUAUGUUAAUAAUUAUAUAAGUGGGAAUAAUAUAAUAAGGAACUCGGCAAAUAUAACACUCGCCUGUUUAACAAAAACAUGUCUUCUUGUUUUGUUUAAGAAGUCUGACCUGCCCAGUGAAUUAUUUUAACGGCCGCGGUAUAUUGACCGUGCAAAGGUAGCAUAAUCAUUAGUCUUUUAAUAGGGGGCUGGAAUGAAGGGUUUGACGAGGUGUUUACUGUCUCAUUUUAUUUGAUCUUAAAAUUUAACUUUACAGUCAAAAGGCUGUAAUAAUAUUGGAAGACGAGAAGACCCUAUAGAGCUUUAUAUUUAAUUAUUUAUUAUAUUAUUGUUAAUUAAAUUAUAUUACUUAAUUAAAUAUUUUGUUGGGGUGACAAAAAUAUAUAAUGAACUUUUUUAUUUAUUAAACGUUGAUAAAUGAUUAGGAGAUCCAAUCUUAUUGAUUGUUAGAACAAGUUACCUUAGGGAUAACAGCGUAAUCUUUCUUCAGAGUUCAUAUUUACAGAAAGGCUUGCGACCUC